This 229-nucleotide ribosomal RNA is filed under the name uncultured bacterium. RNAcentral's name for it is "partial 16S ribosomal RNA". It matches the Rfam family "Bacterial small subunit ribosomal RNA", at positions 568 to 796 of the family's 1533-position model. The record is from RNAcentral.
UGCGUAGGCGGAUUAAUAAGUCAGUGGUGAAAACCUUCAGCUUAACUGGAGACUUGCCAUCGAUACUGUUAGUCUUGAGUACGGUCAAGGUAGGCGGAAUGUGUAAUGUAGCGGUGAAAUGCUUAGAUAUUACACAGAACACCGAUUGCGAAGGCAGCUUACUGGGCCAUUACUGACGCUGAGGCACGAAAGCGUGGGGAGCGAACAGGAUUAGAUACCCUGGUAGUCC